CAUUAACCAAUUUGUAAGUCGCUCUGGAUAAGAGCGUCUGCUAAAUGACUUAAA
This is a non-coding RNA of Salmo salar (Atlantic salmon), 54 nucleotides long. The record is from Rfam. Lineage: Eukaryota; Metazoa; Chordata; Actinopteri; Salmoniformes; Salmonidae.